RNAcentral lists this long non-coding RNA (1962 nucleotides) under Taeniopygia guttata (zebra finch). RNAcentral describes it as "lncRNA (ENSTGUG00000024963.1)". Lineage: Eukaryota; Metazoa; Chordata; Aves; Passeriformes; Estrildidae. The record is from RNAcentral.
CACUUCCUGAUAGAGCAGAGUCAUCCUGCCCUCUCGUGGGUGAGCAGGCACUCAGAGAUUCUGACCAGCUAGAAAUACUUUAGGGUUGAGAUUUGAUGUUCCUACAGCUCAUAUGGUUGUGAAGCCCAAGAGACUUACCACUUAAAGGAAGGUUUUAGAAGUUUGUGAGAGUUUUUGUAGAAAGCUGUUAUUUGUUAUGCAACAUUAAUAUCUUAGAGCAUUGGACAAAGCCUGUUUGGAAGAUGAUGUGUAAAAUUGAUAGUAUAUUAAAUUGAAUGUACCUUAUAUUAAAUUGUACGUUCCUUACUCUUUAAAGGGUUGAAAAACUACAGCUGUUGUUUUAGACACAAAUCAUGCAUAUCCAGCUGUGUUUCAGACAGUGGGAAGACACUGGAUACUGUAUAUCUUGUAGUGAGCAAGGUCCUUGACACAAUCUCUGCUAGACAGACAGAUCCAAGAAAGUGAUCAGAAAAACAGUGGGACCUGUGGGAAUAACAGGUCACGAGCAGCAUACAAACCUCAGCUCACAGCUAAUUGCUAGAGGCAUCCCUCACGGAGUGAUAUCUGUACCAAGAAUGUUUAGCAUCCUUAUUGAUGACCUUGACAAUGGGACAGACUGCACAACCAACGAAUUUUCAGUCACAAUCAAACUGGGGAGGGAUAGUUGACCCACUGGAGCACAGGGCUGCUCUUUUGGACAGAAAUUGGCUGAAGAAAUGGAUUGAUGAGAAACCCUCAAUGUUCAAUCCAAGGCAUGUGCUAGGUGCUGUAACUGAGAUGAAAUAAAUCCAUUCAGCAAUGCAGCCUGAAGGUCAACCUAAUGCAAAAUAGCUUUGCAGAAAUAGACUGGAUGUCCUGGUUGACACUAAAGUGAACACAAUUCAGCAAUGUGUCCUUGUGACUCGGGUGACCAACGGCAGUCUGCACCUUACUAAUGAGAAUGUACUUGUGGAAAGUGAUUAUUCUCCAGAUGCAGCAUUUGUGGGACCAUCCCUGGGGCACGAUGUCAAGUUUUGGACUCUUUAGUACAACUGAGGAGGUACUGAUAUAUUGAAGUCCAUGGGAAGACCACCAAGAGCACAAAUCAUACAGGGAGAGGACAAGAGGCCCUGUUUCUACCUACAGUAAUCUAAUGAAAAGACAGAGAGAAUGAAUGGAACCAGACUCUUCUCAAAUAAGCUGAAAUGGGACAAAAAAGUAACUGAGACUAAUUAGAACAUAGGAAAUUUAUAUUACAUACUAGGAAAAAAAAAAUCACCAUAUGCAUGUUCCAAAACUGGAACAUGUGCCCAGAUAAGUUGUGGAAUCCCCAUCCUUGUUAAUAUUCAGGGCUCAUUUGUUGCACCCUGAAGAGGGGUUGCACCUGAGGACUCCCAGAGGUCCCUUCAAACCUGAAUUAUCCUGUGAUGCUGUGAUGUGGAGGAAUGUUUGAAAGUGUCCAACUUCUGUAUUUUAAAAUUUCUGAGAAAUGUAUCAGGCUCUAACAUUAUCAGUUUGUAACCUGCUUUUUUGACAUCAGAGGAAGAUAAUGCUGAAAAACUAUUGAAUGUGACUUAACAUGUGCUAAAAAUUAAUAUAACUUGUAUACAGAGAUAAUAGAUGUAGCUUAAGAAGAACUAUUUCCCUAACAGCAAAUGGGUUUAAACUGUGGUUACAGGAGCUGAAUGUGUUGCAAUUUAUGAUGGAAAUAGUUUCAGUUUUUCAGUUAGCACCUCUAUAUAGUUUAUGUUGAAUGGAAAGGAAGAUGUGAAAAACUGUGUGAAAUAACUGGUUUUCUCUAACUGAUUCUCAACUGGUCAGGUUGUCAGAGCUUCAUUCAAAAAUCUGUUUUCCAAUCUUAGUGCAAACUUUCAUGUUCAUAGUGACAUUUUCAAAAUUAAAAUCUAAAUUGUAGCUAUUUUUAGUCAAGUUACAUAUCUGUUACCAGACCAUAACUUAUCCAUUAAAAUUGUAUUAGUCUGA